GGAGCGAUUUGUCUGGUUUAUUCCGAUAACGAACGAGACUCUGGCCUACUAAAUAGUGACAGGAUUAUUACUGUCCUGGAUACUUCUUAGAGGGACAAGUGGUUUUCAGCCACACGAAAUUGAGCAAUAACAGGUCUGUGAUGCCCUUAGAUGUCCGGGGCUGCAAAAACGCUACACUGAAGGAAUCAGCGUGCUAAAACCAUUGUCGAAAGGCAUUGGUAAACCCAUUAAAAUCCUACGUGAUUGGGAUCGGGAAUUGCAAUUAUUUCCCUUGAACGAGGAAUUCCCAGUAAGUGUGGGUCAUAAGCUCGCGUUGAUUACGUCCCUGCCCUUUGUACACACCGCCCGUCGCUGCCCGGGACUGAGCCGUUUCGAGAAAAGCGGGGACUGCUGCUGUCGGGGCUUUCGGGCCUUGGCUUCGGUGGAAACCGCUUUAAUCGCAGUGGCUUGAACCGGGCAAAAGUCGUAACAAGGUUUCCGUAGGUGAACCUGCGGAAGGAUC
Molecule: ribosomal RNA, 502 nt
Filed under: uncultured eukaryote
Lineage: Eukaryota
Description: SSU rRNA
Rfam family: Eukaryotic small subunit ribosomal RNA
Source: RNAcentral